CCUACGGGGGGCAGCAGUGAGGAAUAUUGGUCAAUGGGCGAGAGCCUGAACCAGCCAAGUCGCGUGAGGGAGUACUGCCCUAUGGGUUGUAAACCUCUUUUGUCGGGGAGCAAAAGCCGGACGUGUCCGGCUGUGAGAGUACCCGAAGAAACAGCAUCGGCUAACUCCGUGCCAGCAGCCGCGGUAAUACGGAGGAUGCGAGCGUUAUCCGGAUUUAUUGGGUUUAAAGGGUGCGCAGGCGAAUUUUUAAGUCAGCGGUAAAAUCGUGGGGCUCAACCCCAUCCAGCCGUUGAAACUGGGGAUCUAGAGUGUGCGAGAGGUAGGCGGAAUGCGUGGUGUAGCGGUGAAAUGCAUAGAUAUCACGCAGAACCCCGAUUGCGAAGGCAGCAUACCGGUGCACAACUGACGCUCAGGCACGAAAGCGUGGGUAUCGAACAGGAUUAGAUACCCGAGUAGUC
Molecule: ribosomal RNA, 458 nt
Filed under: uncultured bacterium
Lineage: Bacteria
Description: partial 16S ribosomal RNA
Rfam family: Bacterial small subunit ribosomal RNA
Source: RNAcentral